GGCUGGUCCCAGUGCAGUGGUGUUUACACCUAAUUGAUCAAAACCAGUUCCGUCUCCACUCCCACUGCUUCACUUGGCUAGUCUUAA
Molecule: unclassified non-coding RNA, 87 nt
Organism: Nomascus leucogenys (northern white-cheeked gibbon)
Lineage: Eukaryota; Metazoa; Chordata; Mammalia; Primates; Hylobatidae
Rfam family: Y RNA
About the family: Y RNAs are components of the Ro ribonucleoprotein particle (Ro RNP), in association with Ro60 and La proteins. The Y RNAs and Ro60 and La proteins are well conserved, but the function of the Ro RNP is not known. In humans the RNA component can be one of four small RNAs -- hY1, hY3, hY4 and hY5.
Source: Ensembl